GCUAGCGUAGCUUAAACCCUUAAAGCGUAACCUUGAAAUUGUUUCUCUGGACCCUAGAAAGUCCCGCAAGCA
Molecule: transfer RNA, 72 nt
Filed under: Parupeneus cyclostomus (goldsaddle goatfish)
Lineage: Eukaryota; Metazoa; Chordata; Actinopteri; Syngnathiformes; Mullidae
Description: tRNA-Phe
Source: RNAcentral